GGGUUGUGAGGUUAAGCGACUAAGCGUACACGGUGGAUGCCCUGGCAGUCAGAGGCGAUGAAGGACGUGCUAAUCUGCGAAAAGCGUCGGUAAGGUGAUAUGAACCGUUACAGCCGGCGAUGUCCGAAUGGGGAAACCCAGUGCAAUUCGUUGCACUAUCGUUAACUGAAUACAUAGGUUAACGAGGCGAACCGGGGGAACUGAAACAUCUAAGUACCCCGAGGAAAAGAAAUCAACCGAGAUUCCCCCAGUAGCGGCGAGCGAACGGGGAGCAGCCCAGAGUCUGAAUCAGCUUGUGUGUUAGUGGAACGGUCUGGAAAGUCCGACGGUACAGGGUGAUAGUCCCGUACACCAAAAUGCACAGGCUGUGAACUCGAAGAGUAGGGCGGGACACGUGGUAUCCUGUCUGAAUAUGGGGGGACCAUCCUCCAAGGCUAAAUACUCCUGACUGACCGAUAGUGAACCAGUACCGUGAGGGAAAGGCGAAAAGAACCCCGGCGAGGGGAGUGAAAAAGAACCUGAAACCGUGUACGUACAAGCAGUGGGAGCACCUUCGGGUGUGACUGCGUACCUUUUGUAUAAUGGGUCAGCGACUUAUAUUCUGUAGCAAGGUUAACCGUAUAGGGGAGCCGCAGGGAAACCGAGUCUUAACUGGGCGUUAAGUUGCAGGGUAUAGACCCGAAACCCGGUGAUCUAGCCAUGGGCAGGUUGAAGGUUGGGUAACACUAACUGGAGGACCGAACCGACUAAUGUUGAAAAAUUAGCGGAUGACUUGUGGCUGGGGGUGAAAGGCCAAUCAAACCGGGAGAUAGCUGGUUCUCCCCGAAAGCUAUUUAGGUAGCGCCUCGUGAAUUCAUCUUCGGGGGUAGAGCACUGUUUCGGCUAGGGGGUCAUCCCGACUUACCAACCCGAUGCAAACUACGAAUACCGAAGAAUGUUAUCACGGGAGACACACGGCGGGUGCUAACGUCCGUCGUGAAGAGGGAAACAACCCAGACCGCCAGCUAAGGUCCCAAAGUCACAGUUAAGUGGGAAACGAUGUGGGAAGGCACAGACAGCCAGGAUGUUGGCUUAGAAGCAGCCAUCAUUUAAAGAAAGCGUAAUAGCUCACUGGUCGAGUCGGCCUGCGCGGAAGAUGUAACGGGGCUAAACUGUGCACCGAAGCUGCGGCAGCGACACUAUGUGUUGUUGGGUAGGGGAGCGUUCUGUAAGCCUGCGAAGGUGGCCUGUGAGGGUUGCUGGAGGUAUCAGAAGUGCGAAUGCUGACAUAAGUAACGAUAAUGCGGGUGAAAAGCCCGCACGCCGGAAGACCAAGGGUUCCUGUCCAACGUUAAUCGGGGCAGGGUGAGUCGACCCCUAAGGCGAGGCCGAAAGGCGUAGUCGAUGGGAAACAGGUUAAUAUUCCUGUACUUGGUGUUACUGCGAAGGGGGGACGGAGAAGGCUAUGUUAGCCGGGCGACGGUUGUCCCGGUUUAAGCAUGUAGGCGGAGGUUCCAGGUAAAUCCGGUACCUUUUUAACGCUGAGGUGUGAUGACGAGGCACUACGGUGCUGAAGUAACAAAUGCCCUGCUUCCAGGAAAAGCCUCUAAGCAUCAGGUAACAUUGAAUCGUACCCCAAACCGACACAGGUGGUCAGGUAGAGAAUACCAAGGCGCUUGAGAGAACUCGGGUGAAGGAACUAGGCAAAAUGGUGCCGUAACUUCGGGAGAAGGCACGCUGAUAUGUAGGUGAAGCCCCUGCGGGUGGAGCUGAAAUCAGUCGAAGAUACCAGCUGGCUGCAACUGUUUAUUAAAAACACAGCACUGUGCAAACACGAAAGUGGACGUAUACGGUGUGACGCCUGCCCGGUGCCGGAAGGUUAAUUGAUGGGGUUAUCCGUAAGGAGAAGCUCUUGAUCGAAGCCCCGGUAAACGGCGGCCGUAACUAUAACGGUCCUAAGGUAGCGAAAUUCCUUGUCGGGUAAGUUCCGACCUGCACGAAUGGCGUAAUGAUGGCCAGGCUGUCUCCACCCGAGACUCAGUGAAAUUGAACUCGCUGUGAAGAUGCAGUGUACCCGCGGCAAGACGGAAAGACCCCGUGAACCUUUACUAUAGCUUGACACUGAACAUUGAGCCUUGAUGUGUAGGAUAGGUGGGAGGCUUUGAAGCGUGGACGCCAGUCUGCGUGGAGCCAACCUUGAAAUACCACCCUUUAAUGUUUGAUGUUCUAACGUUGGCCCCUUAUCGGGGUUGCGGACAGUGUCUGGUGGGUAGUUUGACUGGGGCGGUCUCCUCCCAAAGAGUAACGGAGGAGCACGAAGGUUAGCUAAUCCUGGUCGGACAUCAGGAGGUUAGUGCAAUGGCAUAAGCUAGCUUGACUGCGAGCGUGACGGCGCGAGCAGGUGCGAAAGCAGGUCAUAGUGAUCCGGUGGUUCUGAAUGGAAGGGCCAUCGCUCAACGGAUAAAAGGUACUCCGGGGAUAACAGGCUGAUACCGCCCAAGAGUUCAUAUCGACGGCGGUGUUUGGCACCUCGAUGUCGGCUCAUCACAUCCUGGGGCUGAAGUAGGUCCCAAGGGUAUGGCUGUUCGCCAUUUAAAGUGGUACGCGAGCUGGGUUUAGAACGUCGUGAGACAGUUCGGUCCCUAUCUGCCGUGGGCGCUGGAGAAUUGAGGGGGGCUGCUCCUAGUACGAGAGGACCGGAGUGGACGCAUCACUGGUGUUCGGGUUGUCAUGCCAAUGGCAUUGCCCGGUAGCUAAAUGCGGAAGAGAUAAGUGCUGAAAGCAUCUAAGCACGAAACUUGCCCCGAGAUGAGUUCUCCCUGACUCCUUGAGAGUCCUGAAGGAACGUUAAAGACGAUGACGUUGAUAGGUCGGGUGUGUAAGCGUAGCGAUACGUUGAGCUAACCGAUACUAAUGAACCGUGAGGCUUAACCUUACAACGCCGAAG
Molecule: ribosomal RNA, 2926 nt
Filed under: Klebsiella aerogenes
Lineage: Bacteria; Pseudomonadati; Pseudomonadota; Gammaproteobacteria; Enterobacterales; Enterobacteriaceae
Description: bacterial LSU rRNA
Rfam family: Bacterial large subunit ribosomal RNA
Source: RNAcentral